UCCCAUAUGCUCUAGUGGUUAGGAUUUGGCGUUUUCACCGCCAAGGCCCGGGUUCAAUUCCCGGUGUGGUAA
Molecule: transfer RNA, 72 nt
Filed under: Saccoglossus kowalevskii
Lineage: Eukaryota; Metazoa; Hemichordata; Enteropneusta; Harrimaniidae
Description: tRNA-Glu
Rfam family: tRNA
About the family: Transfer RNA (tRNA) molecules are approximately 80 nucleotides in length.
Source: RNAcentral